RNAcentral lists this ribosomal RNA (460 nucleotides) under uncultured bacterium. Its description in RNAcentral is "partial 16S ribosomal RNA". It matches the Rfam family "Bacterial small subunit ribosomal RNA", at positions 338 to 795 of the family's 1533-position model. The record is from RNAcentral.
CCUACGGGUGGCUGCAGUGAGGAAUAUUGGUCAAUGGACGAGAGUCUGAACCAGCCAAGUAGCGUGAAGGAUGACUGCCCUCUGGGUUGUAAACUUCUUUUAUAUGGGAAUAAAAUGUUCCACGUGUGGGAUUUUGUAUGUACCAUAUGAAUAAGGAUCGGCUAACUCCGUGCCAGCAGCCGCGGUAAUACGGAGGGUCCGAGCGUUAUCCGGAUUUAUUGGGUUUAAAGGGAGCGUAGGUGGAUUGUUAAGUCAGUUGUGAAAGUUUGCGGCUCAACCGUAAAAUUGCAGUGGAAACUGGCAGUCUUGAGUACAGUAGAGGUGGGCGGAAUUCGUGGUGUAGCGGUGAAAUGCUUAGAUAUCACGAAGAACUCCGAUUGCGAAGGCAGUUCACUGGACUGCAACUGACACUGAGGCUCGAAAGUGUGGGUAUCAAACAGGAUUAGAUACCCGUGUAGUC